Non-coding RNA from Camellia sinensis, 552 nucleotides. NCBI's taxonomy places the organism in Eukaryota, Viridiplantae, Streptophyta, Magnoliopsida, Ericales, Theaceae. The record is from RefSeq and is a predicted model, not a curated record.
GUCGAUAUUAUCAUGUUGUUGCUACACUUGCUACAUCAGAAGAAAGCUUCGCAAGAUGCUUAACAUCACGGAAUUCUAGCAGACAUCAAGUUUCUUAUCUCCACCAAAUGUUCAUCAUCCGAUAUGUGCAGUGAAAGACGGAGUUCUGUCACCUCCAUCUCAUCUUCCCAACUCAAAGGACCCGAUGCAAACAACGCCUUCAGAGCAUUACAAUAGGCACGUAGCUCUAACUUAUGGUCUCGUGCCACCAAUUCCUUAUUUUUCACGAGGUCACUUCCUUCUUUCUCGUACCAUCGUCCAUGAAAGGGUUCAGCAUCACUACGAAAACUGUCAGUGUCUUCAUUCUCAUGUUUUACAGAAUUCCCACCAAUAGGCGAUGCUUUCUCGAGUGUCCUGGUGGAAUUUUGGGGCUCCUGAAUUUCCAUUUUUUUUGCAGCAUGAAAAUGAUCUUUGCCCACAAAUAGCUUUGUAUUUGUGUCUUUCUGGUUUUUCUUCAUUGACAUUGCAAAUUGUGCAUCACCCUAUAGUAUAAACACAGUAAACGAUAUAUAA